UCGCCCUCGAAAUGAAGAAGGAGGACGGAAGCGCGAGGCGAAAAAAAACGCGGUAUGGCGCUGCAUCUGGGCAACUCUGUGAGUGGUGGAAAGCUCGUGGUGUGAGGGCUUAGUGCCCCCAGGUCUUUCCACACAGGAUUCCCUUUGUUCCUUGUUUGCUCCACUGGCUGGUCAGUAAGAAUCAUAAUCCUUGCUUGAGCCCACCCCCUACCACUAACUCCCUGGCUCCCACUAGGUCUCUGUCUCUGGACUAGGUCUUUGACACAUUAGAGUUCCUAACACAGUCCAUGAUAAGUUGAUAAGUACCCCCCCCCCCCUACACACACACACACACACACACACAUACUCACACAUACACAGGAUCACACACAAGUGCACAGUGAAUUGACCCUCACCUGACUCCUCACCAUAAUGAAACUCUGAGUAUGUCUUCUUUGUUGGUCAUUUACAGUCAUUUCAUUUUUUUCCUGUUACACACUUUGUCAGUGAGCCAUUCUGAAAACGGGUUACCUGGGGUGAAAAUAUAGUGUGAUUAUUUACACUGAAUGUGGGGUUGUUUAUGUGCAUUCUUCACUUCAUGCACAACCAAUCAUCAAUGCCUCUUGCCUUUCCCUCACAGCCAACACAGGCACAUGCAAACAGUCCGCUAUCAUAAAAACAGAGCUUUUAUGGUUCUUUGGCUAUAAAACACGUCCCCUUAUGGUAGAAAAGCUGGUUGCCACAAUGAUGAAAAUAUGACAAGGUAUAAAAAGUCUGUGGUAAAAGCUACUCAGAGAGGCAGAGACAGUGGCAGAGCAAUCGCAGCCAAGGACCAUCUAACGCACACCGUGACAGAGGAAGACAUCAACUGAGCGGAACGCACAUCAGUAUGACUGGAGGACAUCUCUCAUUGACCUGGGCGCUGCUCAGUUCAGCAAUAAUAUUCGCAUCUCUAGGAAUGCAAGGCAGCACAGGAAGCACCGCAGAAUGGAAUGCCGGAGUCCAAUCACCGGCGGCAGAGGGGUCGACCUCCCAGACCCCAACCACUUCAGAGGCCUCUUCUGCUGACUCGUUCUCCCCCGGUCAGCUCGACACAUCCAGCCUGCCGCCCACCACCUCCAACCAGACCGCCGAACGGGGCCAGCAGGGGCUGUCCCCUGGGGAGGCUGCGGGGGUGGCCAUCGGCACCAUCGCUGGAGUAGCAGCAGCGGGUGGAGGGAUCUUUGCUGCUUUGAAGUUCAGUGGGAGACUGGGGGGCUAAUGCCAAGGACCAGCAGGGGAGGGGAGGGGGGCACCCAGCCUCACAGCCAGGUUCUGCCAGCCCCACCACCAGGGUGUACGAAGCCAGGAUCUCAGUGUCUCCCUCUGUAUUGGGACUCAAAGUAGAAUGUCCUUUGUUCAAGUGAAGAGAAAUUUAUGAACUAAUAAAUUCAGAUUCCCCCCCCCCAUUUAUAUUAUUCCUUGUAUCUAAUUACUGAUAUUACUUUUUUUGAACCAAAGUGCACGUGACAAGGGAUGUUGUCUUCCCUGUAUCCUAUGGAGAAGAUUGCAGUGGAACAGUUUCUGGGUCACAGGACACAGUGUUCUUUCUCAUUCACGUAGAGUUGUUUUGCCAUAAUGCGUAUCUAACCAAAUGGAACUCUUAAAGCAGAUCAUUAAAAAGGUUGCAGGAAUCUUUCACUCCAGAUUCCCCCAUUUUCAUUGGACGAAAUGAGCAUUAUAUUAGAAGAGCCCUUUCCAAGGGGACUGAGAAUAAAUAAUUCAGUAGUCCAUAGUACGAUGUAAUGAUUGUAUCUGUUGAUAAGCCGUUACUCACAUAAGCCUUUUAAAUCUUAUCUCAUGACCUUAUUGGAGUUAGUAAGCAGUAGUAACUGAUACUAGUAUCCCAGAGACUAUUGCGUAAUUAAACAGAGAUAGAAAAGUUGACUUUUUUUUUUACUGCUGAUACUGCUAUCGUUACUGAUUUUCAAGAAUGUAUUUGUUUAGUCCUUUCCAUGAAUAAUAUCAUAUGUGCCAGUGAUAAAUUUGUAAUAAAAAUAAUU
This is a long non-coding RNA of Anguilla rostrata (American eel), 2021 nucleotides long. RefSeq lists it as uncharacterized. The record is from RefSeq and is a predicted model, not a curated record. The transcript is spliced from 4 exons. Lineage: Eukaryota; Metazoa; Chordata; Actinopteri; Anguilliformes; Anguillidae.